CAGUCGAACGGCAGCAUAGGAGCUUGCUCCUGAUGGCGAGUGGCGAACGGGUGAGUAAUAUAUCGGAACGUGCCCUAGAGUGGGGGAUAACUAGUCGAAAGACUAGCUAAUACCGCAUACGAUCUACGGAUGAAAGUGGGGGAUCGCAAGACCUCAUGCUCCUGGAGCGGCCGAUAUCUGAUUAGCUAGUUGGUGGGGUAAAAGCCUACCAAGGCGACGAUCAGUAGCUGGUCUGAGAGGACGACCAGCCACACUGGGACUGAGACACGGCCCAGACUCCUACGGGAGGCAGCAGUGGGGAAUUUUGGACAAUGGGGGCAACCCUGAUCCAGCAAUGCCGCGUGAGUGAAGAAGGCCUUCGGGUUGUAAAGCUCUUUUGUCAGGGAAGAAACGGUAGUAGCUAAUAUCUAUUACUAAUGACGGUACCUGAAGAAUAAGCACCGGCUAACUACGUGCCAGCAGCCGCGGUAAUACGUAGGGUGCAAGCGUUAAUCGGAAUUACUGGGCGUAAAGCGUGCGCAGGCGGUUGUGUAAGUCAGAUGUGAAAUCCCCGGGCUCAACCUGGGAAUUGCAUUUGAGACUGCACGGCUAGAGUGUGUCAGAGGGGGGUAGAAUUCCACGUGUAGCAGUGAAAUGCGUAGAUAUGUGGAGGAAUACCGAUGGCGAAGGCAGCCCCCUGGGAUAACACUGACGCUCAUGCACGAAAGCGUGGGGAGCAAACAGGAUUAGA
This 730-nucleotide ribosomal RNA is filed under the name Herbaspirillum sp. YIM225. RNAcentral's name for it is "bacterial SSU rRNA". It matches the Rfam family "Bacterial small subunit ribosomal RNA", at positions 59 to 782 of the family's 1533-position model. The record is from RNAcentral. Lineage: Bacteria; Pseudomonadati; Pseudomonadota; Betaproteobacteria; Burkholderiales; Oxalobacteraceae.